This 288-nucleotide ribosomal RNA is filed under the name uncultured Geobacter sp. Its description in RNAcentral is "partial 16S ribosomal RNA". It matches the Rfam family "Bacterial small subunit ribosomal RNA", at positions 1095 to 1382 of the family's 1533-position model. Lineage: Bacteria; Pseudomonadati; Thermodesulfobacteriota; Desulfuromonadia; Geobacterales; Geobacteraceae. The record is from RNAcentral.
AGCGCAACCCCUAUCCUCAGUUGCCAUCAUUAAGUUUGGGCGACUCUGUGGAGACUGCCGGUGUCAAACCGGAGGAAGGUGGGGAUGACGUCAAGUCCUCAUGGCCCUUAUGACCAGGGCUACACACGUGCUACAAUGGCCGGUACAAAGAGUUGCGAUACCGUGAGGUGGAGCCAAUCUCAUAAAGCCGGUCUCAGUUCGGAUUGGAGUCUGCAACUCGACUCCAUGAAGUUGGAAUCGCUAGUAAUCGCGGAUCAGCAUGCCGCGGUGAAUACGUUCCCGGGCCUU